ACCGGAAAACAAGAGUUAAGACGGUUUGCUUCAUAGACAUAAUAUAAGAUUAUAUUAUGUCUAUGGUUUGCUUGUCUCCCAUAGUCUCCUGUCAGUCAGUACUGAGUCCUAUCUCACGGACUAGGAAGAAGAGAACGUUCUUCAUCUUUGGGACUGAGGAUUAUCGCGCACAUUCUUCAGAGCAAAGCUAAAGGUUUCCUAGCAGCAUAACACGGACUUUACUAAGUUUGCAGCCCAUGGACAAGGGAGCGAGAAAACACACUGAUCACUCCUGGCUUCAGCACAUAUGACGGACCCACCGGCAGGCAGACCCUCCUCUUCCUGACCCACAGCUGCCCUGAACGCUCUACCAGCCUCUAAUGCCCGUCAGGGUCAUUUAAUCUGCCAGAAGGGAGUCGAGCUUCCACAGACGCCCGAGAACGACUCCGUCGUCAUCGCGGAAAGCUCCGGUGACAGAGGGUUGUUUCGGUUCUAGAGGUGGGAGAUGCAGCUGUUCGCGGUGACAACUCCCGACGUUUUACCACGCUGCCACGAAGGAUGACAUGAAGCUAAUCCCACCGUAAGACAGAUAGACAGGUUCAUGCUCAGUUUGAGGGAAAACGUGCACAGUUCACAUUCUUCAAACAUGUCCCCAAACAGCUACGUCAGUGAUUACCACAGAAGUGAAAAUCAUCUGCCUUAAUUAAAUGCCAUAAUCACAAUUAGACUGACAGGCUUUAGCUGUCCCGCACACAUUACUGCAGUAAACACACACAUACACACGCACACACACACCCCAUCUGCAGCUAACAAGCUUUUAUUGUUCAGAUUAGUCCAAACCUGAUUUGACUGUUUGCUUACAAUUUAGCUGCUUUUGUGAUGUACGCCAAUUUCCUUCUGCGUCUUAUGCACAGUUUUGUUUUCUAAGAGGUAUUUGCAAAGCAACAAAGAUGGACAGUAAUGGGUAAUGUACGAAUCAAACCCUGAACUCUGGCCAGGAAAUGUUAGAGAGGCAAUAUUAUGUAAAAUAGACUCUGUUUUUUUUGCUUUACAUUGUGUUAUAAUGUUAUUCCUUCAUAAACAAC
Long non-coding RNA from Poecilia latipinna (sailfin molly), 1064 nucleotides. RefSeq lists it as uncharacterized. Lineage: Eukaryota; Metazoa; Chordata; Actinopteri; Cyprinodontiformes; Poeciliidae. The transcript is spliced from 4 exons. The record is from RefSeq and is a predicted model, not a curated record.